AUGGUUAACUCCUUGUGGGCUAGAGAUGUGUGUAUCUUAAAAACUUACUGCUCUCAGAGCCUCGAGCUGCUGACCAUUAAAGUCAGGCCUUUUUACCUCCCGAGGGAGUUCAGCUCAGUUCUCCUCUCAGCUGUUUACAUUCCACCACACGCUGAUAAAGCUACGGCUAUGGACGAACUGUAUGACAUCAUCACUGGACUUGAGAACAAAAAUCCAGAAGCUGCCUUUAUUGUGCUGGGAGACUUCAACAGAGCCAACAUGAAGAAGGUUCUCCCCAAAUACUAUCAGCACAUCUCCUUCCCCACAAGAGGUGAUCAAACACUGGACCAUUGUUACACUCCAUUCAAAGAGUGCUACAAACCCCUCCCCCGCCCAGCUUUUGGUAAGGCAGACCAUUGUUCCAUUCUGCUGCUGCCUGCAUACAGACAAAGACUAAAACAGGAAAAACCAGCUUCCAGGGUUAUUUACAAAUGGGACAGUGAGGCUGAGGAGGUCCUGCAGGACUGCUUUGAGACAACUGACUGGCAGAUAUUUGUGGAUGCAGCUGAUGGCAACAUCAAUGAACUCACAGACUCUGUCAUUGGAUAUAUUGGAAAGUGCAUGGAUGAUAUCAUCACAAAAACCACUGUCCGCAUAUACCCAAAUCAGAAACCCUGGGUAAAUAAAGACGUUCGCGCCAAGCUAAAAGUGCGGACCUCUGCCUUUAACUCCGGGGAUGCUGAUGCAUAUAAAGCAGCCAGGUAUGACCUCCGUAAGUCCAUAAAAAAGGCCAGAAAGGACUACAGGGACAAAAUGGAGUCCAGCUACCACAGCUUUGACACCAGGCGACUGUGGAAUGGACUGCGCUGCAUCACUGACUACAAGAAGGCCAACGCAGUCAGUGUCCAGCCCACUGCAUCUCUCGCAGACGAGCUUAACAACUUCUAUGCUCGUUUUGAUGCAGACAACAGAGAGCAGAUCCUCUACCCUCAGGAGGACAGUGAGGCUGCAACUUUAACUCUGAAAACAGAAGCUGUGAGAUGGACCUUUAAAAAGGUCAAUCCUCACAAAGCUCCAGGACCGGACGGCAUCCCAGGCCGGCUACUCAGAGUGUGUGCAGACGAGCUGGCACAGGUGUUCACCAACAUCUUCAACCUCUCCCUGAGGCAGUCAGUGGUCCCCACGUCCCUCAAAGCAUCCACCAUCAUUCCCGUUCCCAAAAAAUCAGUGGUCUCCUGUCUGAAUGACUACCGUCCUGUUGCACUGACAUCCGUCAUCAUGAAGUGCCUGGAGCGGCUGGUCUAA
RNAcentral lists this long non-coding RNA (1284 nucleotides) under Oreochromis niloticus (Nile tilapia). Its description in RNAcentral is "lncRNA (ENSONIG00000042023.1)". Lineage: Eukaryota; Metazoa; Chordata; Actinopteri; Cichliformes; Cichlidae. The record is from RNAcentral.